UAGGGAAUCUUCGGCAAUGGGGGCAACCCUGACCGAGCAACGCCGCGUGAGUGAAGAAGGUUUUCGGAUCGUAAAGCUCUGUUGUAAGUCAAGAACGAGUGUGAGAGUGGAAAGUUCACACUGUGACGGUAGCUUACCAGAAAGGGACGGCUAACUACGUGCCAGCAGCCGCGGUAAUACGUAGGUCCCGAGCGUUGUCCGGAUUUAUUGGGCGUAAAGCGAGCGCAGGCGGUUAGAUAAGUCUGAAGUUAAAGGCAGUGGCUCAACCAUUGUAGGCUUUGGAAACUGUUUAACUUGAGUGCAGAAGGGGAGAGUGGAAUUCCAUGUGUAGCGGUGAAAUGCGUAGAUAUAUGGAGGAACACCGGUGGCGAAAGCGGCUCUCUGGUCUGUAACUGACGCUGAGGCUCGAAAGCGUGGGGAGCGAACAGGAUUAGAUACCCUGGUAGUCCACGCCGUAAACGAUGAGUGCUAGGUGUUAGGUCCUUUCCGGGACUUAGUGCCGCAGCUAACGCAUUAAGCACUCCGCCUGGGGAGUACGACCGCAAGGUUG
RNAcentral lists this ribosomal RNA (550 nucleotides) under uncultured bacterium. RNAcentral describes it as "bacterial SSU rRNA". It matches the Rfam family "Bacterial small subunit ribosomal RNA", at positions 355 to 896 of the family's 1533-position model. The record is from RNAcentral.